GACGAACGCUGGCGGCGUGCUUAACACAUGCAAGUCGAGCGGUAAGGCCCUUUCGGGGGUACACGAGCGGCGAACGGGUGAGUAACACGUGGGUGACCUGCCCUUAGCUCUGGGAUAAGCCUGGGAAACGUGGGUCUAAUACCGGAUAUGACUCCAUGACGCAUGUUGUGGGGUGGAAANCCUUGUGCGGCUAGGGAUGGGCCCGCGGCCUAUCAGCUUGUUGGUGGGGGUGAUGGCCUACCAAGGCGACGACGGGUAGCCGGCCUGAGAGGGCGACCGGCCACACUGGGACUGAGACACGGCCCAGACUCCUACGGGAGGGCAGCAGUGGGGAAUCUUGCGCAAUGGGCGAAAGCCUGACGCA
This 364-nucleotide ribosomal RNA is filed under the name uncultured bacterium. RNAcentral's name for it is "bacterial SSU rRNA". It matches the Rfam family "Bacterial small subunit ribosomal RNA", at positions 28 to 390 of the family's 1533-position model. The record is from RNAcentral.